GACGAACGCUGGCGGCGUGCUUAACACAUGCAAGUCGAACGGAAAGGCCCUGCUUUUGUGGGGUGCUCGAGUGGCGAACGGGUGAGUAACACGUGAGUAACCUGCCCUUGACUUUGGGAUAACUUCAGGAAACUGGGGCUAAUACCGGAUAGGAGCUCCUGCUGCAUGGUGGGGGUUGGAAAGUUUCGGCGGUUGGGGAUGGACUCGCGGCUUAUCAGCUUGUUGGUGGGGUAGUGGUUUACCAAGGCUUUGACAGGUAGCCGGCCUGAGAGGGUGACCGGCCACAUUGGGACUGAGAUACGGCCCAGACUCCUACGGGAGGCAGCAGUGGGGAAUAUUGCACAAUGGGCGGAAGCCUGAUGCAGCAACGCCGCGUGCGGGAUGACGGCCUUCGGGUUGUAAACCGCUUUUGCCUGUGACGAAGCGUGAGUGACGGUAAUGGGUAAAGAAGCACCGGCUAACUACGUGCCAGCCGCCGCCGUAA
Molecule: ribosomal RNA, 484 nt
Filed under: uncultured bacterium
Lineage: Bacteria
Description: partial 16S ribosomal RNA
Rfam family: Bacterial small subunit ribosomal RNA
Source: RNAcentral